This is a regulatory RNA element of Robinsoniella sp. RHS, 178 nucleotides long. It matches the Rfam family "NiCo (Nickel/Cobalt) riboswitch aptamer". NCBI's taxonomy places the organism in Bacteria, Bacillati, Bacillota, Clostridia, Lachnospirales, Lachnospiraceae. The record is from Rfam.
ACAGUACAAACUGAGCAGGCGAUAAACCAUCUAAUGCCGCCCGAGUAAAUAGGCCACUAUAACACCUGACGCAGACAUCAGGCACUAUAUCGGCAUAUUUACAACCGGUGGCACUGGUUUGUGGGGCCGGGCCGCUAAGCGGCAGCAGAUGGGUAUGAAACACAUCUGUGGGACAGUA